GCUGCUGUAGCUCAGGGGCAGAGCACUCCCUUGGUAAGGGAGAGGUCGAGAGUUCAAAUCUCUCCAGCAGCACCA
This 75-nucleotide transfer RNA is filed under the name Paracoccaceae bacterium. RNAcentral describes it as "Rhodobacteraceae bacterium tRNA-Thr". It matches the Rfam family "tRNA". From Rfam's summary of the family: Transfer RNA (tRNA) molecules are approximately 80 nucleotides in length. Their secondary structure includes four short double-helical elements and three loops (D, anti-codon, and T loops). RNAcentral also lists the same sequence under 1 other name. Lineage: Bacteria; Pseudomonadati; Pseudomonadota; Alphaproteobacteria; Rhodobacterales; Paracoccaceae. The record is from RNAcentral.